This 853-nucleotide ribosomal RNA is filed under the name Proteus mirabilis. RNAcentral's name for it is "partial 23S ribosomal RNA". It matches the Rfam family "Bacterial large subunit ribosomal RNA", at positions 1134 to 1973 of the family's 2925-position model. Lineage: Bacteria; Pseudomonadati; Pseudomonadota; Gammaproteobacteria; Enterobacterales; Morganellaceae. The record is from RNAcentral.
GUAAUAGCUCACUGGUCGAGUCGGCCCGCGCGGAAGAUGUAACGGGGCUAAACCAUGCACCGAAGCUGCGGCAGCGACACAAUGUGUUGUUGGGUAGGGGAGCGUUCUGUAAGCCUGCGAAGGUGUACUGUGAGGUAUGCUGGAGGUAUCAGAAGUGCGAAUGCUGACAUAAGUAACGAUAAUGCGGGUGAAAAACCCGCACGCCGGAAGACCAAGGGUUCCUGUCCAACGUUAAUCGGGGCAGGGUGAGUCGACCCCUAAGGCGAGGCUGAAAAGCGUAGUCGAUGGGAAACGGGUUAAUAUUCCCGUACUGGUGGUAACUGCGAUGGGGGAACGGAGAAGGCUAGGUUGUCCGGGCGACGGUCGUCCCGGUUCAAGCAGGUAGGCAGAGUGAUUAGGCAAAUCCGGUCACUUAAUGCUGAGAUGUGAUGACGAACCACUAAGGUGGUGAAGCAAUUGAUGCCCCGCUUCCAGGAAAAGCCUCUAAGCUUCAGGUUACCAACAAUCGUACCCCAAACCGACACAGGUGGUCAGGUAGAGAAUACUCAGGCGCUUGAGAGAACUCGGGUGAAGGAACUAGGCAAAAUGGUGCCGUAACUUCGGGAGAAGGCACGCUGGCGGUAGGUAAAGUCCCUCGCGGACAGAGCUGAAGCCAGUCGAAGAUACCAGCUGGCUGCAACUGUUUAUUAAAAACACAGCACUGUGCAAACACGAAAGUGGACGUAUACGGUGUGACGCCUGCCCGGUGCUGGAAGGUUAAUUGAUGGGGUUAGCGCAAGCGAAGCUCCUGAUCGAAGCCCCAGUAAACGGCGGCCGUAACUAUAACGGUCCUAAGGUAGCGAAAUUCCUUGUC